RNAcentral lists this ribosomal RNA (253 nucleotides) under uncultured bacterium. RNAcentral describes it as "partial 16S ribosomal RNA". It matches the Rfam family "Bacterial small subunit ribosomal RNA", at positions 524 to 776 of the family's 1533-position model. The record is from RNAcentral.
UACGAGGGAGGCAAGCGUUGUUCGGAAUUAUUGGGCGUAAAGGGCGCGUAGGCGGUUUGACAAGUCUGAUGUGAAAUCUAUGGGCUCAACCCAUAGCCUGCAUUAGAAACUGUCGGGCUUGAGUAUGGGAGAGGUGAGUGGAAUUUCCGGUGUAGCGGUGAAAUGCGUAGAUAUCGGAAGGAACACCUGUGGCGAAAGCGGCUCACUGGACCAUAACUGACGCUGAGGCGCGAAAGCUAGGGGAGCAAACGGG